AGAACGAACGCUGGCGGCAUGCCUAAUACAUGCAAGUCGAACGAACACUUCGGCGUUAGUGGCGCACGGGUGCGUAACGCGUGGGAAUCUGCCCUUGGGUUCGGAAUAACAGUUGGAAACGACUGCUAAUACCGGAUGAUGACGAAAGUCCAAAGAUUUAUCGCCAAGGGAUGAGCCCGCGUAGGAUUAGCUAGUUGGUGAGGUAAAGGCUCACCAAGGCAACGAUCCUUAGCUGGUCUGAGAGGAUGAUCAGCCACACUGGGACUGAGACACGGCCCAGACUCCUACGGGAGGCAGCAGUAGGGAAUAUGGACAAUGGGCGAAAGCCUGAUCCAGCAAUGCGCGUGAGUGAUGAAGCCUUAGGUUGUAAAGCUUCUUUACCGAGAUGAUAAUGACAGUAUCGGGAGAAUAAGCCCCGUCUAACUCCGUGCCAGCCAGCCG
Molecule: ribosomal RNA, 441 nt
Filed under: uncultured soil bacterium
Lineage: Bacteria
Description: bacterial SSU rRNA
Rfam family: Bacterial small subunit ribosomal RNA
Source: RNAcentral